Triticum aestivum (bread wheat) is the source of this 134-nucleotide non-coding RNA. The record is from Rfam. Lineage: Eukaryota; Viridiplantae; Streptophyta; Magnoliopsida; Poales; Poaceae.
AAAAUACCCCCUCUGAUCCAUAUUACUUGUCCUAGAUUUGUCUAGAUACGGAUGUAUCUAACACUAAAAUGUGUCUAGAUACAUCUGUAUCUAGACAAAUGUAAGACAAGUAAUAUGGAUCGGGGGAGUAUAAG